Molecule: ribosomal RNA, 327 nt
Filed under: uncultured eukaryote
Lineage: Eukaryota
Description: partial 18S ribosomal RNA
Rfam family: Eukaryotic small subunit ribosomal RNA
Source: RNAcentral
CCCUUAGAUGUUCUGGGCCGCACGCGCGCUACACUGACGGAGGCAGCGAGCAUGUCCUUCGCCGAGAGGUGUGGGGAAUCUUGUGAGUCUCCGUCGUGCUGGGGAUAGAUGGUUGCAAUUGUCGAUCUUGAACGAGGAAUUCCCAGUAAGCGCGAGUCAUAAGCUGGCGUUGAUUACGUCCCUGCCCUUUGUACACACCGCCCGUCGCUACUACCGAUUGGACGGUUUAGCGAGGCCCUCGGAUCGGUACCAGGACUCCGUCAGGAGUGACUGGCAACCGAGAAGGCGGUCGAACUUGACCGUCUAGAGGAAGUAAAAGUCGUAACA